UUUCCGUAGGUGAACCUGCGGAAGGAUCAUUCAUAAUAAAGUGUUUUAUGGCACUUUUUAAAAAUCCAUAUCCACCUUGUGUACAAUGUUAGAUCUCGUCAAUUUUGGCGGGAUUUUUAUACAUCAACUCAUUCUUUAACUAAUUUGUCUGAAAAAUAUUAUGAAUACUUAAUUCAAAAUACAACUUUCAACAACGGAUCUCUUGGCUCUC
RNAcentral lists this unclassified non-coding RNA (211 nucleotides) under plant metagenome. RNAcentral's name for it is "partial contains small subunit ribosomal RNA, internal transcribed spacer 1, and 5.8S ribosomal RNA". The record is from RNAcentral.